UAUGUUGCAAAAUUGAAACAUUACUCGGCCGUCAUCUCAUUGUAUAACCAACUGGGUGUGUCGAGAAUUGGACAUGAUGUUUGUACCCUAACCAUUCUCAUAAAUUUUUAUUUUCAUCUAAACCAAAUGGGUAAAACUCCAUUUAGUUUAUCUGUAUUGGGAAAAUUCUUCAAACUUGGUCUUGAACCAAAUGUCUUUACCUUCAACACUCUAAUCAACGGCUUUCUUCUCCGGAAUAGAGUGGCGGAGGGAGGAGGAAUUUUUAACAAAAAGAUUGCAGGGGAAACACCUACAAACUUGACAUUUUGCAUGAAAGUUAACAACAGUGCAGCUAUUCAGUUGCUUAGAAAGAUGGAGGAAGGAGCUUGCAAGCCUGACCUAGUUGUCUAUAGCACAAUCAUCAACAGUCUUUGUAAGGAUACACUAGUUGAUGAUGCAUUAAACCUCUUCUCAAAAAUGAUGUGCAAGGGUAUUGCCCCAAAUGUCAUUACCUAUACAUCCUUGAUUCAUGGAGUUUGCAAAUUAGGCAAGUGGAAAGAAGCUACAAGGUUGUUGAAUGAAAUGGUGAGUAAAAACAUCUUUCCAAAUGUGUGCACGUUCAAUGUCUUGGUAGACACACUUUGUAAGGAGGGGAUGGUUGGAGAAGCAGAAGGCGUGGUUGAAAUGAUGAUUGAAAGGGAUAUUCAACCAUGAUACCGUUACAUACAAUUCACUUAUGAAUGGUUACUGUUUGCGAGGAGAAAUGAGCAAGGCUAGAAAAGUUUUUAAACUAAUGCUUAGCAAGGGCUUGAUGGUUAAUGUUGUUAGUUACAACACAUUGAUAAAUGGAUAUUGUAAGCAUAAGAUGAUGGAUGAGGCCAUGAUGCUACUUCGGGAAAUGACUCGUAAGGGACUGGUUCCAAAUACUGUUACUUAUAACACUCUUGUGGAUGGUUGUUGCAAAGUGGGGAAAUUAGGUGAUGCACGACAGUUGUUCUCAGAGAUGCAAGCUUGUGGUCAACUUCCAGAUGUUCAAACUUAUGCUACUCUACUGGAUGGCCUGUGUAAAAACCGACAACUUUCUACAGCAAUCCAACUGUUUAAAGAGAUGGAAGGCAAGAAGUUGGAUGUAAAUAUUGUGAUUUACACUAUUCUUAUUGAAGGUUUGUGCAUAGCUGAAAAAAUUGAAUCUGCAAGGGAACUCUUUUGUGGUUUAUCAUCAAGAGGGCUUCAACCGGAUGUAAGGACAUAUACCAUAAUGAUUAAUGGACUCUGUAUUGGGGGCCGAACAAGUGAAGCAGAAAAGCUGCUUACUGAAAUGGAAGAGAAAGGUUGUCCUCCAAAUGAUUGUACGUAUAACGUAAUUAUUCGAGGGUUUAUCAAUAACAAUGAGACAGUAAGGGUGAGAGGACUUAUUCAACAAAUGGUGGAGAAGGGUUUCUCGGCAGAUGCAUGGACUACAGAAUUGAUAGUUGAUCUAUUGGGUAAAGAUAAAGUAGAUCCUGCAUUGUUGCCAUUGAUGCAAAUAAAGAAUUAUGAGCUGAAUUUGCCUCAGUUAAAGUUGAACAGAUCUUCUGACCAUCCCAAUAAACAUUGAAGCUCUUCCACCUCUGGCAACCAUGGAUGUGUUAUAUCUGUUAUCUCUUAAUCCAUCAUGUGACAAUGUCGAGUAGUAGAUAUAACUUUUCCGAUA
Non-coding RNA from Prunus mume (Japanese apricot), 1672 nucleotides. The record is from RefSeq and is a predicted model, not a curated record. Lineage: Eukaryota; Viridiplantae; Streptophyta; Magnoliopsida; Rosales; Rosaceae.